Molecule: long non-coding RNA, 658 nt
Organism: Carassius gibelio (silver crucian carp)
Lineage: Eukaryota; Metazoa; Chordata; Actinopteri; Cypriniformes; Cyprinidae
Exons: 3
Source: RefSeq, a predicted model, not a curated record
UGUAAAUUAUACGCUUUCGUUUAAUAUUUACUUUAUAGAAAUGGUUUAGCGUCGUCAGAAAAAGUCCGUUAGCAUCUCAAAGGUAAGGCUAAAUACAAGAGGUAACGAUAGACAUGAGCUCUUGUUUAUUAAGUUUGGGCUUUUAAUGUCAUCUUGUGUGUAGAUGAGCUCUCUCUGUCUCUCUCUCUCUCUCUCCAUAUAUAUCAAUGGAUGAAUGGAAGUAACUUAACCGAAUUAAUUUAACCUUAAAAGUAUCCACUGUUUAAUCCUAAAAUGUGCACUAACGUAACCGGAUAACGUUACAUCACUUACAUAGAGCGUGAAAAUGGACUGAAACCUUCAGGUUUUGAUCUUUCAUGGUAAACACAUAAAUACAAACUUGUUCUGUGAUUUCAGAAGUGCCAGAAAAAAACCUCUAUGACACAGGAGAAGUUCCUGCUUUUAACAUUUCUGAAGGGAGCUGCUGACAGAGAGGAUGAAAACAUACACAUUUUGAUGUCCACGCUGUAGGAGCAUUACUAAAUAAUGCUUAUGUUCCUAGGUUCUUCCAUGCUGAUGGCUGUGCUCUAGUCAUAUCUCCUGUCGAAGAACAUUUUUAGACAUUAUGAACCAUGAAUAAGUUUAGCUCCAACCCCAGUUAAGCAGACCUGAGCAGCUG